AGCCAGACUCCUACGGGAGGCAGCAGUGGGGAAUAUUGGGCAAUGGGCGAAAGCCUGACCCAGCAACGCCGCGUGAAGGAAGAAGGCGCCAGGCGUCGUAAACUUCUUUUGUCGGGGAACAAAGGGCGCCACGUGUGGCGCUGUGAGUGUACCCGAAGAAAAAGCAUCGGCUAACUCCGUGCCAGCAGCCGCGGUAAUACGGAGGAUGCGAGCGUUAUCCGGAUUUAUUGGGUUUAAAGGGUGCGCAGGCGGAAUAUCAAGUCAGCGGUAAAAAUUCGGGGCUCAACCCCGUCGUGCCGUUGAAACUGAUGUUCUUGAGUGGGCGAGAAGUAUGCGGAAUGCGUGGUGUAGCGGUGAAAUGCAUAGAUAUCACGCAGAACUCCGAUUGCGAAGGCAGCAUACCGGCGCCCAACUGACGCUGAAGCACGAAAGCGUGGGGAUCGAACAGGAUUAGAUACCCUCGUAGUA
Molecule: ribosomal RNA, 468 nt
Filed under: uncultured bacterium
Lineage: Bacteria
Description: bacterial SSU rRNA
Rfam family: Bacterial small subunit ribosomal RNA
Source: RNAcentral